CCAACAGGGAUUGCCUCAGUAGCGGCGAGUGAAGCGGCAAGAGCUCAGAUUUGAAAUCUCACCUAGUGUGCGAGUUGUAAAUUGCAGGUUGGAGUCUCGGGUUAGACGUGUGUGCAAGUCCCUUGGAACAGGGUGCCACUGAGGGUGAGAGCCCCGUAGCGUGCAUGUCGACACCUGUGAGGCCCUUCUGACGAGUCGAGUUGUUUGGGAAUGCAGCUCUAAGUGGGUGGUAAAUUCCAUCUAAGGCUAAAUAUUGGCGAGAGACCGAUAGCGAACAAGUACUGUGAAGGAAAGAUGAAAAGCACUUUGAAAAGAGAGUGAAACAGCACGUGAAAUUGUUGAAAGGGAAGGGUAUUGGGCUCGACAUGGGAUUUACGCAUCGUUGCCUCUCGUGGGCGGCGCUCUGGGUUUUUCCUGGGCCAGCAUCGGUUUUCGUUGCAGGAUAAGGACAAUUGGAAUGUGGCUCCUCGGAGUGUUAUAGCCUUUUGUAGAUGCUGCGUAUGGGGACCGAGGGCUGCGGCGGACUCGUUUCGUCUCGGAUGCUGGCACAACGGCGCAAUACCGCCCGUCUUGAAAAACGGAAACCAAAAA
This 591-nucleotide ribosomal RNA is filed under the name Pichia kluyveri. RNAcentral's name for it is "eukaryotic LSU rRNA". It matches the Rfam family "Eukaryotic large subunit ribosomal RNA", at positions 65 to 664 of the family's 3401-position model. Lineage: Eukaryota; Fungi; Ascomycota; Pichiomycetes; Pichiales; Pichiaceae. The record is from RNAcentral.